Molecule: long non-coding RNA, 846 nt
Filed under: Olea europaea subsp. europaea
Lineage: Eukaryota; Viridiplantae; Streptophyta; Magnoliopsida; Lamiales; Oleaceae
Source: RNAcentral
CAAUUUUCGUAUUGACGAAAAUAGACUUAAAUGAAAUGGCGUAAAUAACCUUUUCAAUUCUUUACACCACAAUCUCUCACAACUGCAGAUUCAACUGAAGGUUUCUCUAAAAAAACAAGGUACGGGGUGAUCCAUUCAUAGAGAAACUAGAAAUGAAGCUUAACAAAUCUUUCUAACAAACAAGAACGCCAAAUGAGAAAAACUUGUAUCUCUCCAUGGAAGUAUCUCUCAUGCCAAAUAGAUCGCUUACUAAAUAAUUAAUAACACGACAAGAAAUCUUAAAGAAACGACAAUGUUUCAACAAAUAAGAUCAUGAAUUUCAAUAAAAAGAAGAAGAACCCAUAAUAAAUCUGAGAGGAGAUUUCUCUUAAACUCCAAGGCAAAACAAGAAAGACCUAUUUUUUUUAGCUUUUUUCUCUCUCCAAAAGGGCGCUACCCACCCAGAAUCCCAGAUGACAGUCAAGAAUUGCACUAAGUGGUGUACAACAAAUAGAAGGAAAAAAAUCCCUCCUUUUUGAGAAUGGAAUGUUGCUUCUGUACUUUGAUCGUGUGCGUGUGAAACAAUAUUUUAUUAUUUGACAAGAAAUGAGAGAGAGAAAUAUGAGAGAAUUGUCCAGAGCUCAGCCCCUAGCCCAUUUCCUUGGCAUUAAUAAAAGUCUUACUUGUUCUUCAAGCUCCACCCACCGUAGCAGAGGAGGCAGAUGGAAGAUUCACCCACCAUAGCGGAGGAGGCAGAUGGUGGGGAGCAGGAACAGAGUAGGCAGAGUCGUAAAGAGGAUGUGUUGUGUGGUGUAUUGUAUUCUUUUUACAGUUAACUUUGGGCUUAUUUGUAAAUUAGUAGUGGUG